Molecule: transfer-messenger RNA, 316 nt
Filed under: Synechococcus sp. MIT S9508
Lineage: Bacteria; Bacillati; Cyanobacteriota; Cyanophyceae; Synechococcales; Synechococcaceae
Description: tmRNA*ANNIVRFSRQAAPVAA*
Rfam family: Cyanobacteria transfer-messenger RNA
About the family: Bacterial tmRNA, also known as 10Sa RNA or SsrA, is named for its dual tRNA and mRNA-like properties. Its role is to liberate the mRNA from a stalled ribosome.
Source: RNAcentral
ACUGCUGUCAGAAUGACAACGUCCGGUCUCGACCGGACUAGGUGAUCCACACCAGUGUUCCGGACAGCGGUUCGAUUCCGCUCAGCUCCAUUCCCCCUUCUCGGGGCUGCAAUGGUUUCGACGGGGCAUAAGGAGGGUGACUGAAGCCUGCUCGGUAAGAGCAAACCCGUAACUGCGAACAACAUCGUUCGUUUCUCCCGUCAAGCAGCCCCUGUUGCUGCCUGACCCUUAAGGGAGAUGGGGUGAAGUCAGCCUUAUCACCCAAUUGACUCGCGGGGGCUGGAAGGCCCCCUCAACUAUUGCAAUCACUGGAGUC